RNAcentral lists this ribosomal RNA (150 nucleotides) under Paratylenchus sp. YJ. Its description in RNAcentral is "5.8S ribosomal RNA". The stretch from base 29 to 150 matches the Rfam family "5.8S ribosomal RNA", at positions 1 to 124 of the family's 154-position model. From Rfam's summary of the family: 5.8S ribosomal RNA (5.8S rRNA) is a component of the large subunit of the eukaryotic ribosome. The record is from RNAcentral. Lineage: Eukaryota; Metazoa; Nematoda; Chromadorea; Rhabditida; Tylenchulidae.
CUAUUUUUUUCAAACAAACAAGCUAUAUUAGUCUUGCCGGUGGAUCACUCGGCUCGUAGGUCGAUGAGGAUCGCAUCCAAAUGCGAUAGUUAGUGUGAACUGCAGAUAUUCUGAGCACUAAAACGUCGAAUGCACAUUGCGCCUUGGGAC